RNAcentral lists this ribosomal RNA (314 nucleotides) under Cystoisospora belli. RNAcentral's name for it is "SSU rRNA". It matches the Rfam family "Eukaryotic small subunit ribosomal RNA", at positions 114 to 425 of the family's 1831-position model. Lineage: Eukaryota; Apicomplexa; Conoidasida; Eucoccidiorida; Sarcocystidae. The record is from RNAcentral.
AGUUUAUUUGAUGGUCUUUACUACAUGGAUAACCGUGGUAAUUCUAUGGCUAAUACAUGCGCACGUGCCUCUUCCUCUGGAAGGGCAGUGUUUAUUAGAUACAGAACCAACCCACCUUCUGGUGGUCCUCAGGUGAUUCAUAGUAACCGAACGGAUCGCGUUAUGGCUUCGGCCGGCGAUGGAUCAUUCAAGUUUCUGACCUAUCAGCUUUCGACGGUACUGUAUUGGACUACCGUGGCAGUGACGGGUAACGGGGAAUUAGGGUUCGAUUCCGGAGAGGGAGCCUGAGAAACCGCUACCACAUCUAAGGAAGG